RNAcentral lists this ribosomal RNA (166 nucleotides) under Lathraea squamaria. RNAcentral describes it as "5.8S ribosomal RNA". It matches the Rfam family "5.8S ribosomal RNA". From Rfam's summary of the family: 5.8S ribosomal RNA (5.8S rRNA) is a component of the large subunit of the eukaryotic ribosome. It is transcribed by RNA polymerase I as part of the 45S precursor that also contains 18S and 28S rRNA. Functionally, it is thought that 5.8S rRNA may be involved in ribosome translocation. The record is from RNAcentral. Lineage: Eukaryota; Viridiplantae; Streptophyta; Magnoliopsida; Lamiales; Orobanchaceae.
AAAGUCUAAACGACUCUCGGCAACGGAUAUCUCGGCUCUCGCAUCGAUGAAGAACGUAGCGAAAUGCGAUACUUGGUGUGAAUUGCAGAAUCCCGUGAACCAUCGAGUCUUUGAACGCAAGUUGCGCCCGAAGCCAUUUGGUUGAGGGCACGCCUGCCUGGGCGUC